This 2393-nucleotide long non-coding RNA is filed under the name Canis lupus familiaris (dog). RNAcentral describes it as "lncRNA (ENSCAFG00845022290.1)". The record is from RNAcentral. Lineage: Eukaryota; Metazoa; Chordata; Mammalia; Carnivora; Canidae.
GUAAUUUCCAUUGUUCUCUCUUCAAGUUCACUGAUUAUUUCUCUUGCCUGCUCAAAUCUGCUUUUGAAUACCUCUAGUGAUCUUUAAAAUUUCAGUUAUUGUACUUUUCAGCUUCAGAAUUUCUUUUUUAAUAGGUUUUCUCUUUAUUGAUAUCCCUAUUUUGUUUAUACCUUGUUUUCUUGUCUUUCCCUACAUCCCUAGUUCUUUGAACAUAUUAAGACAGGUUUUUAAAAAGUAUUUAUUUAAUAUAUCUUAUAUUAAAUUUAUCUCAGGGACAGAUUAUGUCAAAUGGUUUUUCUUUUUUUAAAGAUUAUUUAUUUAUUUAUUCAUGAGACAGAGAGACAGCAGAGACAUAGGCAGAGGGAGAAGCAGGCUCCAUGCAGGAAGCCUGAUGUGGGACUCGAUCCCGGGACUCCAGGAUCACACCCUGGGCCGAAGGCAGGCACUCAACCACUGAGCCACUCAGGCAUCCCAUGGUUUCUCUUUUGAAUGGGCCAUGCUUUCCCAGUUCUUUCUAUGCUUUGUGUGGUUUUUUUUGAACACUGGAAUUUUGAAGAUAAUAAUGUGGUAAAUCUGGCAAUCAGGUUCUCCCCAUUACCCAGGGUGUGUUGGUUGUUUGUUAUUGUUUUGUUUGUUUGUUUCAGGUUGUCUCAAACAACCAGGGAUCAGCCUGAGGUAUAAACAUAAUGUCUUCUUAGAUAUUUUCUGAGAUUUUCCUGGGCAAAUGCAGUCACUUUUAAAUUUUCUUUGUACAUGCAGUUGUUUUUGAAUAUCCAGUCUUUAAUGUCUGGCUCAUGACAGUGGAAAGGUGAAAAAUGAAGGUGAGAAAAAGGCACUUCCCUUUACAUUUCCUGGAAGUCAGCUCAGCCUGUGUGUGUGUGUGUGUGUGUGUGUGUGUGUGUGUGUGUGGAGAGGGGCUUGCAGUGGGAGGGGGAGGUGCAACAACAAUGGCUACCUGCAUCUUUGCACCUCUGUGAUCAGAAGUAGCAACCAGCAGUGAGACUACAGAUCACCAAUAUUUGGAGGGCAGUGCCCUUUUUGUCCAUCCUUGCUCCUGAAGCCUGUAUGUAAGCUGCUCAAGGAACAUGUGCACAGCUGCCUGCCAUGUGGCUGGAGGUGGAGAUGGGUAGCUGCUGCUGUAUUAAGAGCUAAAGUUGACGAAAAUGAACAAAAAUUUACCAUCCAAGUGUUCCUCUGGAAGUUUCAAUGCUUCAAAACAUUCCAGAGUUCCAAAAUAAUUACAUUAGACAGAUUCUGCAAGUGCCAUUUUUGUCUAGAUGGGAGACAGAUUCCUGGUGCUUCCUUCUCCACCAUCUUCCAGAGUCCUGUCUAGGGUUAAUUUUAUCUCACUAUCGAGGGAAGACCUUUUCUAGUGCUCUAGCUGAUGACUUUUGAAUGAUGUGAUUUUCCAGUCUGUUGGGAACAGGCACUGUCCCCUCCCAUCCUUUCCAAAUGUUUCCUCUGCCUUGGGCAGCUUGCUCACAUCCAUGCACUAGUGAAUUCUCAGGUGAAUACUUCAAGAGGAUCAUCUGCGAUCUCUCUUUAUAGAACUCCUCUCUCCAGUACUCUGCCCUACGAAUCCUAGCCACUUUGUCCAACACAGAUUCCUAGUUCCAUUCCCUCAACUUGAGGAGGCUACCAGGCUCUGUGGGGUUCGCUUCCUCACAUCAUGGCCCUGAAACUUCUACCAGGCAGUGAGCUGGGUCAAUUGUCGUCCUUACUCCCUUUGCUUCCCAUCUUUCAAAGAUCUCUGUUCAUCAGACAGUGAUGUUCAAUGUCUAAGAAACAUGGUCUCAAUUAACUAAUUUUUUAGAGAGUAAGAGCAAGAGUGAGCAAGGGGAAGGAGCAGGGGGAGAGGGAGAGAGAAUCUUAAGCAGACUCCAUGCCCAGUGCAGAGCCUGAUGUGGGGCUCAGUUUCAUGUCUCAUUUUGUUUCAGUUUGUUGUUUCAGGUUGGAGGGUGGUCAGUCCCUACUGAUGUAAUAAUAGCUGACAGUGAGGCUGAAGCUCCAAUUCAAAAUUAGUAUCUUCCUCAAAUGAAUGUACUAAUGGUACUAAUCACUAUCUUUCUUGCUAAUAGAAGUUAUAUUUUCUUUGUAGACUGAGCUUCUGGAGAGGAAGAUACAAAUCUGAGUCACAAUAAGUACUUGAGAAAAUGAAAAAUAUGAAUGCUUAAUAUGUAUCUACCUAAUCGAUUAAAGUAAUAAAGGUUAACUUUAUUUAGCAUAGGAUUGCUAGACUUAUAGGUCAUGGAGGUGUCAUGGAAAUAUAGCAUGUGUUGAUAGCUGUAAGGAGUUCCAUGACGUUUCUUAGGAGAGCCUUUGUGAUAAAAUACAGGUCUUAGUUUCUUAAUUAAGUGAAUCUGUGGUGAGUUAAAUAAAUUAAAAAAAAAAAA